UACGGGGGUGGCGAGCGUUACUCGGAAUUAUUGGGUGUAAAGGGCAAGUAGGCGGCCUAUUAAGUGAGGGGUGAAAUCUUCCGACUCAAUCGGAAAAUUGCCUUUCAAACUGAUAGGCUUGAGACUGGAAGGGGGAAAUGGAAUUAGCAGUGUAAGGGUGAAAUCUGUAGAUAUUGCUAAGAACACCAGCGGCGAAGGCGAUUUCCUGGUCCAAGUCUGACGCUGAAUUGCGAAAGCUAGGGGAGCAAACAGAAUUAGAUACUCUGGUAGUCCUAGCUGUAAACGAUGAGCACUAGGUGUUGGUCCUUCGGGAUCAGUGCCGCAGUUAACGCAUUAAGUGCUCCACCUGGGGACUACGGCCGCAAGGCUAGAACUCAAAGGAAUUGACGGGGACCCGCACAAGCGGUGGAACAUGUGGUUUAAUUCGAUGCUACGCGAAGAACCUCACCAAGGCUUGACUUGCUCGUCGUACCCCGCCGAAAGGCGGGGGUCGGUUCGGCCGGACGAUGCACAGGUGCUGCAUGGCUGUCGUCAGCUCGUGUCGUGAGAUGUUGGGUUAAGUCCCGCAACGAGCGCAACCAUUGCCCCAUGUUGCUAACCCCGCCAUUUGCUUUGCAAAGGGCGGGGCGCACUCUUGGGGGACUGCCUGGGAUAACCAGGAGGAAGGUGGAGAUGACGUCAAGUCAGUACGGCCCUUAUGCCUUGGGCUACACACGUGUUACAAUGGACGGUACAGAGGGUUGCCAACCCGCGAGGGGGAGCUAAUCUCAAAAAGCCGUCCCCAGUUCGGAUUGGAGUCUGCAAUUCGACUCCAUGAAGCCGGAAUCGCUAGUAAUGGGAGAUCAGCUCGCUCCCGUGAAUACGUUCCCGGGUC
Molecule: ribosomal RNA, 874 nt
Filed under: uncultured bacterium
Lineage: Bacteria
Description: bacterial SSU rRNA
Rfam family: Bacterial small subunit ribosomal RNA
Source: RNAcentral